Molecule: non-coding RNA, 179 nt
Filed under: Clostridium amylolyticum
Lineage: Bacteria; Bacillati; Bacillota; Clostridia; Eubacteriales; Clostridiaceae
Description: Lysine sequence
Rfam family: Lysine riboswitch aptamer
About the family: Riboswitches are metabolite binding domains within certain messenger RNAs that serve as precision sensors for their corresponding targets. Allosteric rearrangement of mRNA structure is mediated by ligand binding, and this results in modulation of gene expression.
Source: Rfam by way of RNAcentral
UUUUGAGGUAGAGGUGCGGUCUUUAUUAGUACUUUCGCAGAGGUAAGCACAAUGAAGCGAAGGAAAAGGAAAGGUCGUCGGAGCAUGCAGCUAAUGCUUUAUGGCUGUAGGGCUGGUUCUGUAUAGAAUAUGUACAGUAACUGUCACAAAUGCGUAAUUUGUGGAGAGCUAUCUAGAUA